UCCAGUCGCUGCCUUUUAGGUAGAGGAAAGUCCGGGCUCCGUAGGGCAGGAUGCUGGAGAAAUUCCAGUGAGCGCGAGCUCAAGGAUAGCGCCACAGAAAAUAUACCGCCUCUUGUGUGAGGUAAGGGUGAAAAGGCGGGGUAAGAGCCCACCAGCCGGCGGGUGACCGUCGGGCUUGGCAAGCCCCAUCCGGAGCAAGGCCGAAUAGGGGGGGAUGACGUGGCCCGCGGACCCCCGGGUACGGCCGCUUGAGCGCCUCCGCAAGGAGUGCGUCAGAGAAAUGACUGGACUUAGACAAAA
Molecule: RNase P RNA, 300 nt
Filed under: Thermanaerovibrio velox DSM 12556
Lineage: Bacteria; Thermotogati; Synergistota; Synergistia; Synergistales; Synergistaceae
Description: Bacterial RNase P class A
Rfam family: Bacterial RNase P class A
About the family: Ribonuclease P (RNase P) is a ubiquitous endoribonuclease, found in archaea, bacteria and eukarya as well as chloroplasts and mitochondria. Its best characterised activity is the generation of mature 5'-ends of tRNAs by cleaving the 5'-leader elements of precursor-tRNAs.
Source: RNAcentral